This 298-nucleotide unclassified non-coding RNA is filed under the name uncultured fungus. RNAcentral's name for it is "partial contains small subunit ribosomal RNA, internal transcribed spacer 1, and 5.8S ribosomal RNA". The stretch from base 1 to 73 matches the Rfam family "Eukaryotic small subunit ribosomal RNA", at positions 1759 to 1831 of the family's 1831-position model. Lineage: Eukaryota; Fungi. The record is from RNAcentral.
UCAAACUUGGUCAUUUAGAGGAAGUAAAAGUCGUAACAAGGUUUCCGUAGGUGAACCUGCGGAAGGAUCAUUACAACAAGGCCAUGGGCCCCCCGGCGCCCCGGCGCUGGAGGGUACCGGCCUGACUUACACACCCACCCUUUGCCUAUGUGUACCCCUAUCGCUUCCUCGGCAGGCCCGCCUGCCGCCAGGAACCACGUAAACCCUUUGCAUCAUACAUCAACUCUGAUACCAACCAAAAACUAUUACAACUUUUAACAAUGGAUCUCUUGGUUCUGGCAUCGAUGAAGAACGCAGC